RNAcentral lists this ribosomal RNA (446 nucleotides) under uncultured bacterium. RNAcentral describes it as "partial 16S ribosomal RNA". It matches the Rfam family "Bacterial small subunit ribosomal RNA", at positions 338 to 795 of the family's 1533-position model. The record is from RNAcentral.
CCUACGGGGAGCAGCAGUCGAGAAUCAUUCACAAUGGGGGAAACCCUGAUGGUGCGACGCCGCGUGGGGGAAUGAAGGUCUUCGGAUUGUACACCCCUGUCAUGUGGGAGCAAAUUAAAAAGAUAGUACCACAAGAGGAAGAGACGGCUAACUCUGUGCCAGCAGCCGCGGUAAUACAGAGGUCUCAAGCGUUGUUCGGAAUCACUGGGCGUAAAGCGUGCGUAGGCUGUUUCGUAAGUCGUGUGUGAAAGGCGCGGGCUCACCCCGCGGACGGCACAUGAUACUGCGAGACUAGAGUAAUGGAGGGGGAACCGGAAUUCUCGGGGUAGCAGUGAAAUGCGUAGAUAUCGAGAGGAACACUCGUGGCGAAGGCGGGUUCCUGGACAUUAACUGACGCUGAGGCACGAAGGCCAGGGGAGCGAAAGGGAUGAGAUACCCUUGUAGUC